RNAcentral lists this ribosomal RNA (477 nucleotides) under Streptococcus mitis. Its description in RNAcentral is "bacterial SSU rRNA". It matches the Rfam family "Bacterial small subunit ribosomal RNA", at positions 28 to 490 of the family's 1533-position model. The record is from RNAcentral. Lineage: Bacteria; Bacillati; Bacillota; Bacilli; Lactobacillales; Streptococcaceae.
GACGAACGCUGGCGGCGUGCCUAAUACAUGCAAGUAGAACGCUGAAGGAGGAGCUUGCUUCUCUGGAUGAGUUGCGAACGGGUGAGUAACGCGUAGGUAACCUGCCUGGUAGCGGGGGAUAACUAUUGGAAACGAUAGCUAAUACCGCAUAAGAGUAGAUGUUGCAUGACAUUUACUUAAAAGGUGCAAUUGCAUCACUACCAGAUGGACCUGCGUUGUAUUAGCUAGUUGGUGGGGUAACGGCUCACCAAGGCGACGAUACAUAGCCGACCUGAGAGGGUGUUCGGCCACACUGGGACUGAGACACGGCCCAGACUCCUACGGGAGGCAGCAGUAGGGAAUCUUCGGCAAUGGACGGAAGUCUGACCGAGCAACGCCGCGUGAGUGAAGAAGGUUUUCGGAUCGUAAAGCUCUGUUGUAAGAGAAGAACGAGUGUGAGAGUGGAAAGUUCACACUGUGACGGUAUCUACCAGAAAG